Molecule: long non-coding RNA, 729 nt
Filed under: Felis catus (domestic cat)
Lineage: Eukaryota; Metazoa; Chordata; Mammalia; Carnivora; Felidae
Description: lncRNA (ENSFCAG00000043653.2)
Source: RNAcentral
CAAGUGUCAUGAUUUCUGGUGGAAUUUCAGGCACCCUGGUGAAAAAAAAUGACACAUUUUCAUGACUUAUGUAGCUUUUUGUAUCAUAAACUUUAUUUUAUGCGAAGAAGGGGGGCAUUUUUUUUUUUUGCCAAGCUCCCUGUAGUCAUCAGGAUAGCCCCUGUAUUACACAGUCCCUGUACUACAUAGAACCUACCCUCUUCCGUUCAUUUAUGUAAAAAAUAUUCAUUGAGUAUCUUCUCUGUGUCUUGUUCUGUAGGAGCUAGAAACAUAAAUUAAACAGACCCUGCCCUCAAGGGACUUCAAGUCUAAUAGGAGAGGUGGACAAAUGCCUAUCGUUUAUACUCAUGGAAAGCCAGGAAAAAAAGGAAGAAGAAGAAGAAGAGAAAGAAGAUAUGGAUUCAGUUUCAUUCUUUUGUUGGGAGGAGUGAGUCAGGCUGAUGGUAGCAGUGGCCUCCAAAAAGCUGCUGUUACUGCAAAAAUACCAGAAACUAACAACUUGAAGGAUUUAAUUGGAGAUGAAGGAAACUGUAUUGAGAAAUAACGUCUCUCCAUGUAAGAAGCAAAGAAAAGACAUGUUUCUCUUUUCUCUGUAUUAUUAGAACUUGUCUGCCCUCCUCAGCACAUCAGCCCUAAUGAUGCUGAAGUCCAUGAAAGAUAAUUGCCUUGAGUCAUUCUCUAGCCACAGAGAAGGUAAGAUUAAUAAAGAACAUUUGUUAUAAUUUUGCA